RNAcentral lists this non-coding RNA (305 nucleotides) under bovine gut metagenome. Its description in RNAcentral is "Rickettsia sRNA47". It matches the Rfam family "Rickettsia sRNA47". The record is from RNAcentral.
CACAGCACCACCAUUAGAAAGCGGAGUUAUAGUUUGCACUGACCCCUUACCAAAAGAUUUAGUUCCUAAGAUUAGCGCUCUACCAUGGUCUUUUAAUGCAGCAGCAACGAUUUCUGAAGCAGAAGCAGAGCCACCAUUUAUAAGAACAACUAUUGGAUAUUCAGGUUCUGUAUCCUUUUUAGUUGCAUAAAAUUUUUGUUUUUGAUUUUCCAUUCUACCAUCAGUGUAAACAAUUAUUCCCUCAUCUAAGAAUAAAUCUGCAACACUAACUGCUUGUUCUAAAAGUCCCCCUGGAUUGUUUCUUA